RNAcentral lists this ribosomal RNA (493 nucleotides) under uncultured bacterium. RNAcentral describes it as "bacterial SSU rRNA". It matches the Rfam family "Bacterial small subunit ribosomal RNA", at positions 15 to 518 of the family's 1533-position model. The record is from RNAcentral.
GAUUAUGGCUCAGAGUUAACGCUGGCGGCGUGCCUAACACAUGCAAGUCGAGCGAACUCUACAGAGUAUCGUAAGAGUUAGCGGCAAACGGGUGAGUAACACAUGGGAAACCACCCUUAGAAUGGGGAAUAUCUCCGUGAAAAACGGAGCUAAUACCGCAUAAGACCACAGUUUGGCAUCAAACAGGGGUAAAAGCAGCAAUGCGUUCUAAGAUGGUCCUGUGUCCUAUCAGCUAGUUGGUGGGGUAACGGCCUACCAAGGCAAAGACGGGUAUCCGGCCUGAAAGGGUGAACGGACACACUGGAACUGAGACACGGUCCAGACUCCUACGGGAGGCAGCAGUGGGGAAUUUUGGAACCAAUGGGGGAAACCCUGAUCCAGCGACGCCGCGUGGAGGACGAAGGUUUUCGGAUUGUAAACUCCUUUUGGAGGGGACGAAUAAAUUGACGGUACCCUCAGAAAAAGCCACGGCUAACUUCGUGCCAGCCGCCGC